Molecule: ribosomal RNA, 406 nt
Filed under: uncultured rumen bacterium
Lineage: Bacteria
Description: bacterial SSU rRNA
Rfam family: Bacterial small subunit ribosomal RNA
Source: RNAcentral
CAGCCGCCGCGGUAAUACGGAGGGUGCAAGCGUUAUCCGGAUUCACUGGGUUUAAAGGGUGCGUAGGCGGAUAGGUAAGUCAGGGAGUGAAAUCCUGGAGCUUAACUCCAGAACUGCCUUUGAUACUAUCUAUCUUGAAUAUGGUGGAGGUAAGCGGAAUAUGUCAUGUAGCGGUGAAAUGCAUAGAUAUGACAUAGAACACCUAUUGCGAAGGCAGCUUACUACGCCUAUAUUGACGCAGAGGCACGAAAGCGUGGGGAUCAAACAGGAUUAGAUACCCUGGUAGUCCACGCCCUAAACGAUGAUUACUCGACGUAUGCGAUACACAGUAUGCGUCUGAGCGAAAGCAUUAAGUAAUCCACCUGGGAAGUACGACCGCAAGGUUGAAACUUAAAGGAAUUGGCGG